GGAGGGGGGGCUAGCGUUGUUCGGAAUUACUGGGCGUAAAGCGCGCGUAGGCGGACCUGCAAGUCGGGGGGUGAAAGCCCGAGGCUCAACCUCGGAACUGCCUUCGAUACUGCGGGUCUUGAGUCCGGGAGAGGUGAGCGGAAUUCCUAGUGUAGAGGUGAAAUUCGUAGAUAUUAGGAAGAACACCAGUGGCGAAGGCGGCUCACUGGCCCGGUUCUGACGCUGAGGCGCGAAAGCGUGGGGAGCAAACAGGAUUAGAUACCCUGGUAGACCACGCCGUAAACGAUGGGUGCUAGCCGUCGGGGAGCUUGCUCUUCGGUGGCGCAGCUAACGCGUUAAGCACCCCGCCCGGGGAGUACGGUCGCAAGAUUA
This 372-nucleotide ribosomal RNA is filed under the name uncultured organism. Its description in RNAcentral is "partial 16S ribosomal RNA". It matches the Rfam family "Bacterial small subunit ribosomal RNA", at positions 525 to 896 of the family's 1533-position model. The record is from RNAcentral.